Molecule: long non-coding RNA, 126 nt
Organism: Haliotis rubra (blacklip abalone)
Lineage: Eukaryota; Metazoa; Mollusca; Gastropoda; Lepetellida; Haliotidae
Exons: 3
Source: RefSeq, a predicted model, not a curated record
CCGUUUGAGACAAAAUGAUACCGAUGAAUUGCAAUCUAACACAAUAACAAAUCGACAUAAUAGAAUCAAAACAACGCGAACUACAAUAAAAACAACAGACCAAAUGUAGAAUAACACUGCAUAAUC